GAGAUGGCCAUAUAAGGUAGACUUUUUUUUUUUUUUUUUUUGAGAUGGAGGCUUGCUGUCCUCCAAAUUGGUCUCUAAUUUGAGGUUGAUCGGGGUUUAUCGAUUACAGAACAGGCUCCUCUAGAGGGAUAUGAAGCACCGCCAGGUCCUUUGAGUUUUAAGCUGUGGCUCGUAGUGUUCUGGCGAGCAGUUUUGUUGAUUUAACUGUUGAGGUUUAGGGCUAAGCAUAGUGGGGUAUCUAAUCCCAGUUUGGGUCUUAGCUAUUGUGUGUUCAGAUAUGUUAAAGCCACUUUCGUAGUUUAUUUUGUAUCAACUGGAGUUUUUUACAACUCAGGUCUCUGUUGACUGUGUGUUAACUGUUGGAUAAAUCCUUUCCUGAUUCUCACAUAGAGC
RNAcentral lists this long non-coding RNA (393 nucleotides) under Homo sapiens (human). RNAcentral's name for it is "non-protein coding lnc-MYO16-7:1". Lineage: Eukaryota; Metazoa; Chordata; Mammalia; Primates; Hominidae. The record is from RNAcentral.